RNAcentral lists this long non-coding RNA (1882 nucleotides) under Homo sapiens (human). RNAcentral describes it as "HSALNT0294421". The record is from RNAcentral. Lineage: Eukaryota; Metazoa; Chordata; Mammalia; Primates; Hominidae.
UCAAUCUCCCUUCUGUCUUGCAUGCUCUUAUUACAAAGUGAGUUUCAUCCUCCUGCUAUCAAAUGUGUGGUUUUGACCUGGAAAAGGAAAGGUGAGAAGGUCUUUAUUUCCUGUUCUUGAAUCUGGGAAGGCUCUGAGACUUAUGAGGCUAAUGCAUAAAUAGUUUAAAGAAUUUUAGCUGAUUCUCCUAAUACACUCGCUAUUGAGAUGCAGUCACUAUGCUGUGAGGAAGCCCAUGUAACAAUGUGGAGAUUCUGAAGUGAGUUCUGGGUUCUAAGCCAACAGCCUAAAUACUUUAGGUCCAUUAUUUAGGUCCAAGUUCAACCACUAGACCUGUACUUCGCAAGCCUUCAGAGGAUUCCUGCUUUCAGCCCGCAAGCUUUUUCAGCUGAAGCCCCCAGUAUCAUGGAACAGAAUCAGAUUAUUUCCACUGAGUCCUUUUCAAUUUCUUAACCCACAGGAUUUAUGAGCAUUAUGAAGUCAUUAUGGCUUUCUGCCACUAGGCUGAGAGUGGACCACAUAUACAGAAAUAAAAAACUAUUAAUAGAAAAAUAUAUUGCAAACAUCUAAUCCUCAAACCCCAUUCAAGUUUUGCCAACUACCCUCCAUCCUAUCAAAUAUUCCUUAUACCAAAAAGAUCCAGUUCAAAAAUAAGUGUUGCAUUUAUUUUUUAACCUCUUUUGAUCUGGAAUAGCUCCUCACACCGUCUUUCAUGACUUUAGUGCUUUGGAAGACUACAGAUGUUUAGGCUCAUCUGAAAUUUCCCUGCCGUCACCUGGGAAUCAACCAUUUCUUCAGGGAGUCCUAGUUUCUUUUAGCGUAUAGCCACCAAUUUCUACUGAGUAUUUAUCUACUAUAUGGCAGGUCAAGUCUGCAUUCUGGGAUAAAGUGUUGACACAAUCUUGAAUCAGUGCCUAAGGAGUUCACAAGUCCAGAGAGGGGAUAGCGCAUAGAGAAGAUAAAGCAGAUGUCCAUCCAAAGACUUGUAUGUGAAUGUUCAUAGCAACUUUAUUUGUAAUAGCCAAAACCUGAAAGCAACCCAAAUGUAUGUUAAGAAGCGAAUGGAUACAUAAAUUGUGGCAUAUGCAUACAAUGGGAUACCCAGCAAUAAAAAGGAAUGAACUAUUCAAGUAGGCAACAAAAGAUAAGAGAGCUGAAGAAGAGUGAAAAUAAAGAAACUUCUGCAAAGCCACACAUGUAUUUAAGAUAACUACAUCUUCACAGACCAGCAUUUCUGAAGAGAAACAAGUCCACAGCUCCCCAGUCUCAUUGGAAACACAGAAAUAUAUUUCUGGCAACAGUGGAGAAGAAUGAUAGGAAGAGAAUCAUACUGGAAUAGUAUAGUCCUUUGGAAUGUUGUUGUAAUGAAGGCAAGAAGAAAAAUGAUCUUGAAGGCAAGAAGAAAAAUCAUAUUGAAGGAAAGGAGAGAUGAGUUUACCAAAUAUAAUCUCAGAAUUGUUCUGUAAAUUUCAUUUCUGCUUUAGCAGCCAUAAAGAGCUCCAUUUAUUACAGUAGGAACAGAGGCAACAGCAACAUGGGUGGCUGGCAGUGAUAGAAAGGAUUUUAGUUUUGAUACAUGGAAUUUGACAUGCUUUUUGAAAAUCUUCAGAUGGUGAUGUACAAACUACUGCAGGAACAUAUGAGGAAAGAUGAGAGAAUCCACAGACUCUUUGAAGGAAGCAGAUUGCUCCUGCAGGGCCUGGGAGACAACCAAACACUGGGUCCUUAGGGAGAGGUGCCAGAGGAAUUGGAAAAAGGCCACAGGCAGAAGGAAGGCUCCAGCUAAACUUGAUUGACCCAUCAUUUGGAUGACCCGAAACCACAGAUGCAAUAGAAGAAUGGAACAAAUUUGUACAUUUUGUCAAUAAAAACUUUAUCUUCA